This 71-nucleotide transfer RNA is filed under the name bacterium. RNAcentral describes it as "tRNA-Gln". It matches the Rfam family "tRNA". From Rfam's summary of the family: Transfer RNA (tRNA) molecules are approximately 80 nucleotides in length. The record is from RNAcentral.
UGCGGGAUCGUCUAACGGUAGGACACAGGCCUCUGGAGCCUGGUAUCUAGGUUCGAGUCCUAGUCCCGCAG